This 65-nucleotide transfer RNA is filed under the name Laotzeus sp. BMNH 846624. RNAcentral's name for it is "tRNA-Tyr". The record is from RNAcentral. Lineage: Eukaryota; Metazoa; Arthropoda; Insecta; Coleoptera; Chrysomelidae.
GAUAAAAUGGCUGAGCAUAGGCAAUAAAUUGUAAAUUUAUUUACGGAUUUGGAAUCCUUUUAUUA